This is a long non-coding RNA of Glycine soja, 836 nucleotides long. RefSeq lists it as uncharacterized. NCBI's taxonomy places the organism in Eukaryota, Viridiplantae, Streptophyta, Magnoliopsida, Fabales, Fabaceae. The transcript has 4 exons. The record is from RefSeq and is a predicted model, not a curated record.
GCAGUCUUUUAUUUUAACAUCUCUUGUUGAGUGGGUGAUUGUAGCCAGAUAACGACAAUUGUAAUGGAUUCCUGAUGGACACCUUUAUCCAACUGUGCCCAAUAGGUGCAACUACAUUCAUUGGCUUCAACAUCUUUCAUCAAAUAUUAUUCCAAACAUUGUUUCAAGUGAUGGCAAGGUCAGGGGAUUUAACAUUGGAACUGGAGCCAAUUGCAUUUACCCGUUCUUGGUGUUUUUCUUCAUGGAUGGAGUUUUGUAGGAUCAGGAAAGAAGGUGCAACAAAUGAGGAGAUAACAACAACAAUAACACUUGCUAAUGCCAAAAAGUUCAUUGAUAAGUUGCGUCAGGAGGGAUGGAUUUUCAUUAUGAGGGGCUUAGAUUGCAACAGAGAAUGUAAAUGCCUUCACCAAGCCAGUGUAUUUCAGCUUCAUCUAAGAGCCAUUAAUCUUUCAUAUUGAUCCUUGUACAUUGAGACCACAAAGACUAGUGUUGAUGGAGUUUUUGUUGUGGGAGAUGUCUAGCAUAAGAAGUAUAGGAAAGCUAUUAUUGUUGUUGCAUUUUUAAUACUUGUUUCAUAACCUUUAUAUUCAAAUAAAUUAGAUUACUUUAUUUGAUUCUUGGUUUUGAAAUAGGUGUUUUGAAUUUGAUGGCCAUGUUUUCUUCAUGUUCUCAAUAUAUGUAUUCCAUUAUGCAUCAUUUUGAAUCAUAUUAGAAUAUUUUGAACAUGUUAUGUAUCUUAAUUCAACUUAUGUGAACUUUUCCCAUCUUGUAUCUCUUUCUUACAAGCUUGAUACUGGUUGUUAUAUUAUGUGUAUCAAAUAUAAAGUUGUUCCUUA